Paramarasmius palmivorus is the source of this 120-nucleotide non-coding RNA. The record is from the annotation of a GenBank genome assembly. NCBI's taxonomy places the organism in Eukaryota, Fungi, Basidiomycota, Agaricomycetes, Agaricales, Marasmiaceae.
GCCCGCGUUGUCUAAUGGUUAUGACGUCAGACUUCUACAGUCAGCCAGCUGAUUCCCUCCAGGAAUCAGCCGGCUGACCGUUACAUCUGGAGGUUGCGGGUUCGAGUCCCGCCGUGGGUU